This 122-nucleotide ribosomal RNA is filed under the name Castanea mollissima (Chinese chestnut). The record is from RNAcentral. Lineage: Eukaryota; Viridiplantae; Streptophyta; Magnoliopsida; Fagales; Fagaceae.
GGGUGCAGUCAUACCAACACUAAUGCACCGGAUCCCAUCAGAACUCCGCAGUUAAGCGUGUUUGGGUGAGAGUAGUACUAGGAUGGGUGACCUCCUGCGAAGUCCUUGUGUUGCACCCCUUU